This 253-nucleotide ribosomal RNA is filed under the name uncultured bacterium. Its description in RNAcentral is "partial 16S ribosomal RNA". It matches the Rfam family "Bacterial small subunit ribosomal RNA", at positions 524 to 776 of the family's 1533-position model. The record is from RNAcentral.
UACGUAGGGUCCGAGCGUUGUCCGGAAUUACUGGGCGUAAAGAGCUCGUAGGUGGUUUGUCGCGUUGUUCGUGAAAACUCACAGCUCAACUGUGGGCGUGCGGGCGAUACGGGCAGACUUGAGUACUGCAGGGGAGACUGGAAUUCCUGGUGUAGCGGUGGAAUGCGCAGAUAUCAGGAGGAACACCGGUGGCGAAGGCGGCUCUCUGGGACGGUACCGACGCUGAGACGCGAAAGCGUGGGGAGCGAACAGG